Molecule: long non-coding RNA, 6242 nt
Filed under: Coffea arabica (coffee)
Lineage: Eukaryota; Viridiplantae; Streptophyta; Magnoliopsida; Gentianales; Rubiaceae
Description: long non-coding RNA (CARA_LNC000475)
Source: RNAcentral
UUUUUACCAAAAUCUUAGUUAUUUUAGUUAUAAAACUAAAUAAUCAAACCAAAACUAACUAAUAAAAUGUACUUAAAAAUAUGUAAAAUAAACCCUUAUCACAUGUGAAGGGUCUCAAUGCUUGUUUGACGAAGUAAAUCCCUUCUUUAAAUCAAUGACUGAUCCUUGAUUAUUGCACUCUAGAAUUCGAGCAAUUGUGACUAGUGAUGAUCAAUUGUCUACCUCGAACAAAAGAUCAGAUUUCUUCUCCACCCUUCUUAUUGUCAAUGUUGGCAUAGAAUUCUCGAACCAAAUCUAAAUAUAUGUGGAGAGGAAGAGAAAGAAUAGGCUCCCAUCCCAAUAGUUUAAAAGCUUCCGUAAUGCGAUAUACGACAUCAAUCUCCGAAACUAUGCGUAUCUCGUAGAUAAAUUCCAUGUGCUCGCAUUCCUCAAACCAAUCUUGAUUAUUUUGGACGUGAAUCGCUCGACAUCAUAGUUCAGAAGUGGUGGUCGCCUAGAUAAGUCUGUUCACAAUCUCCUUUGUUGAAGCAUCAGAAAUGGUGUCCUUCCGAUACUUUCCUCACUAGAACAUUCACGAAUAAUAGCUCGGUUUUUUCUUACCAUGCUGUCUAAAAAAAAUCGUUACCCUUCUCAUACACCUAGUGAAAAUAUCACACUCACACACUAUACAAGAAUUAAUUCCUAUAAAACACCUAAAAGAAACAUUUUUCCACUUAUUAUUAAUCGUAAACAUUUUAUAGAAUUAUUAGUCACGUAUAGGAAUUAAAAUUGACUCAAAUAAUCACAAAUUCACAUCUUCAUGUCAGAAAGAAUCAAUUAAAUAUUCAACAAUAUGCAAUAUUAUGACAUGAGAGACAUGACAUUUAAAUUGUCAAAAAUUAUCAAAAUCACCAAUUUAUUAAAAUAGGCAACAAAUAUUUUUUAAUUAAUGAAUUUGGCAAUAACCAAGUUUAUAGCUAAUAUUAAUUAGUAACAAUAAUUCACAUUUAGGCAUAAACAUGAUUAAGUAAAAAUUAUCUCAAAAAUCACAAAAUUUAUCAAAAUUAUUCUCUAUACACAAUGUACAUGCUAGAAUAUCAUCAACCAACCAUUUUUAGUCGUAAACAUCAAUCAAAAUGGCUCAAAUAACAAUCCAAACUACUUUUUCAAUUUUAUCCAAAUAUAGCAAAUUUAAAAUUUUAACAACUAGUAAAGCAUCAAAUUGCUACAUUUGAACAUGUAAACAUGCUUAAUCAACCUUAAUAAGCAUAUUGGAGGUAAAAUAUAUCAAUAAAUAUCAUCAAAAUUUUGAAAUUAGAAGAUGUCAGAAAACUCAAAAAAUUGAAAAAUACAAACUUGUAAAAUACAAAGAUUUGAUGAAGAGACUUACCUCAAUCAAGUAGAAGAAUGUUUGGUGAUGAAGAUUAUGCAAAAAAUCCUAUGAAACACCUUCUAAUUGACUUUCAAUUGAGGAAUUUAAGAACUAUGAACCCUAAUCUUCAAUUUCUUUAAAACCGAAUUUUUUGGUAUUUUUCUUGCAUUUCAAUCGGUUAAAAGACUCUAUAAAGGUCAAAUGAUGUUUGGUUGAUGAUUUCUUACAAUGAAAUAGAGUAAUAUUGAUGAUUUGUGAAGUGUACGUGUUUUGGUGUGAAAAAUGCGAGUUUAAGAAAGGAAGAAGAAGAACAAUAAAUGCUGCGUUUUUUGUUUUUAAAAGGAGAAGAAGAAAAUGCGGGGGGAGGGGGGGUAAAACGCGACCCUGAUCACAUUAGUAGGUGCUUUUUCUAGUUGUAACUUGCAGAACCGAAUACGUAGGUGAAGAAAAUGCGACCCUAGUCGCAUUUUUCUAGCCCACAUUUCAUUUUUGUGUGCAAUUUUUCAUCAAGUUUAUAACGCGAGGCUUGCUGCAUUUUAGAGCGUGUUUUAUAAAAAAUGUUGAAAAACAAGUACUCCCUCCGUCCCAUUGAAAGUGUCAUACUCUCUUUUUUGGUCUGUCCCAAAAUUAAUGUCACUUACCACAAUUGGCAAUAAAAACUUUCCCCCAUUUCCAUCUCAUGCCCUUAAAUGUACCAGAUUCUUUUAAGCUUUUGAUGGGCCCCAAAAAAUUACAAAAAUUGCACUUGAUACGCGUGAGCUCCACAACAAAUGCAAACAAUGGUCGUACAAGGAACUUUCCCAAAAAACGGCUGAGACAUUCUUGAGGCACGGGUCCCACAGGUCUUGUCACUACUCGUUAUCUUUCUGCUAGUCAAUAAGUUAUGCUACUCCAUAGAAACCGAACAGGGGUAUUGUUGGAAGUUACACCAAAAUCAAUUGAAAUCUUGACACUGUUGUAAACAAGCACAAGAUUCGAAGCGCGACAAUUAUUGAUAGGGUAUUAAUUGUUGGUUAUUUUAUUAUUAAUUUUCCUUUUGUCUCUGCCAAAUAUUGUUUUAAUUGUUAAUAUCUACUUAUAUUUGGUUAUAUAUGGUAUCUGGACUUAAUUUCAGGGAAUGGAGCAGAAAACUACAAAAAAAUGAGGGACUUUCUGAAGACAAUUGAGACUUCAAACAGUUGGGCCCCAUAUGGUGCUACAAGGAAGCCUUUUUCGGUUGCUGAUAUGUGGACUUUAGUAUUAGAUAGAUGACUUGUACGAGGGAGUCUUUGACUAGCAAUAGGAAACUAGAAAAGUGGAAAUUCGGCAGAGCUUUCUUUUUGGUACCUUUUCUCUCAAGUCGGUAGAGACCAACUAGGGAGAUAUAAGUAGUCAUUUGUUUAGAAUAGGGAACUUCGUUCUUUUGGGCUUCGGCCAAUUCCUUCGUUUUCUUUAUUUUUCUUCUUUUCGGUCUCUUCUAAGAGAACGACGGGAACAUAGCUUGUUUUUUGGAUAAUAACUUCUGCAAUUUCGCAUGGGAUUUCCUCCAUAUAGAUGAACUAAGUUUCUCAUCUAGUCGAAGGCCAACUUGAAGGCGCGGUUCCAAAUAUCUGUGAGAUCAAAUUAAUUUUAUUUAUUUCUUUUAUUCAUUGAUAUUUGUACGUUUCUUGAUUUAAUUGCUUAUGCUUGUUAUGUUAUUUGAAUGUCAAGGGCCCGAUAUUCGAAUUAACCUAAUAAUCUACUGUCAGAUUAAUUGAUUGAAUCCGUAAUUGUUCAAUUGGUUAAUACUAGUGGUGACUAGCGUGAUUGGUUUCAUGUUAGGGAAACGUAUGAUCUAAUUUAAACAAACUCUUGUAGCGUGUUUGUUGGUUAGGGUUAGGCUUUUCUAAUUCUUAACGCAAUCGAGGAAUUAAAUCCUAUGGUCGUACCUAGGGUUAUUUCUUGGUUAGGGAAAUAGUUAACGGUCGUACCUUGACUAUCAAAAAGGUAAGGAAAGGUUGGUUGUUUACCGCGUGUAUGACAACUAUAACCAAUCUAUUAAUGAGUAAUUGAAUUAUCUUUGCAUCGAUGAUCAGUUGAAUGGAUCGUGUCUGAAAAGUUGCACCUUUGGCUAGAGUCGUAUUGGUUCUUGAUUAAUUAUUGUUUAUUUCUAUUAAUUGUUUCAUUAGUUAGUUAAUUAGUAAUUUUAUAUUUUUCAAAAAUCCCCCAUGCAUUGAACUCUAGAAGAAACGAAUUAUCCCUAGUCCCUGUGGAUUCGACCCUACUCACCGCUAUAUACAAAAUUUGUAUUUUUCUUGAGUAGGUAAUUAUUAUUGCACAGGCUCGACACCCUGUCAAUUAUUUCGAGACGGAGGGAGUAACACUUGAUCCUAAAAUGCAGGGGUGGUCCACGUUUUCGUGGGUGCAUUUUGCAAUUCUGCAAUUUUAGCGCAGAAAUUCUGCAAUUUUAUAAAAAUUACACACUUAACCCCCAUUUUCUAGAAUACAUCCUAGAUCAUUGACCAUUCUAACCAAUAUUGACCAUUUUCUUCCUGUAAUAUUGCCAAAGUGGAAUAAAAUAUCAUCGAAAUAUAGCACAAAAUUGUUACUUAUCAAUAUACAAUUGCAUUACAAAUUAUUUCAAAUAUUUAAUUAUUUAUUACAUAUAAAUUGUUUUCCAUUUUGUUAUGUUUAUUAGUUCCCUUCUUGUUAAUUAAGACCAUAAAUCUUUGGAGCAAGUCUUAGAAAGAGUAAACUUUUUUUUAAGUGAAGAUUAAGAGUUGAGUAAUCAUAUUUAUCUUUAACACUUUAGUGGCUCUAUUAGAAGUUCACCUAGGAAAGCUAUUACAAGUAUUAGACACUUUACUAAGCAUAUUAUUACUCAAAUCUUGCUUAAACCCAUUAUAAUUUGGUGACCUUAAAUUGUGCAACUUUUGAGGAAGUGCUCGUUCUUACCAAUUGAGUCAACAUAUAUUGGCAUAUCAGUCCAUUGACUAAAGAAACCUAAAUCAACUCAUGCUCAGGUUGUGAAGUAAUCAAUUUGAUGUCUUAAUUUAUUAGUGUAUGCAAUUAUUUCGUUUACAAUUAGGUCUUCUUCAUUGAUUAUCUUUAUCCAAUAAAUAUAAUUUCGUUAGUUUUUCAUAAUAUUUCAAAUAUUUAAUUUUUUCUAUUUGUGCUUGUCUUUAUAUUCAUUAACACGUAUUGAUGAAUCCUCUAGUUUCAAUGAAUUCACUUUUAUCUUAUAUGGCAAAACUAAUUGGUAAGCGGCACACCCAACUAGCAAACAAGUGUUAUAGUUAAUUAAUCAAUUGAAUUUUGUUUAUUUCAACUAACUUUUCAAGUCAAUUUUCUUCUAUUUUCUUUACUCUCUUCUAACUACUUCAGGUCAAUCAGUUUUUCAAUUGUAUGAAAUAACUAGGCAUAGUUCAUAAAGUUACUAGGUUAACUCAUUUUUGCAAUAAAAAUACACCAUUUAUCAAGAAAAUAAUGUCUCUUCAGAUAGAACACACUGUAUAAAUUUGUCAAGGUAAUUUACAAUUUUAACUUAAAUAAUUUUGUCCAAUUUGUUGUCCAAUAAUUUUUACUGUAGGGCACUAAAUAUACUCCUGCAUUAAAGGAACUUUUGGUGAAUGGUUUUAUAUCUAUUAUGUGUUGAUUACGCACAACAUGCCAACAAAUGAUUCAUUACUAGAUCUCAAAGAGCUCCUCAUUCUCUCUCUCUCUCUCUGAUAAAAAUAACAAUUUCAUUCACAAAAUCUGUACUAACGGUUAAAGAUAUACUAGGUGUUGGACCCCGCGGGUGUCGCGGGGUGCCCAUAUUAUCUUGUUGGUGAGUGUUAACUGAUGGUUUUUUUUGUAAAGAAGAUGUUUGUAUAAGAGAUGGAUUAUAAACAGGAAAGUAGAAACCAUGCGUUUUUUAUAUAUACAUGAUCAUUGGGAAUUGCAGCUUAAUACAAAAGUUAGUUGUUAUUUGUACAAAACAAAAUUCUAGAAAGCUGCUAUGAUUCGUAAACAAAAAGUACAAUUUUUUGUUUUACAUCCAACUGGAAUGUAAACUGUUUAGUUUAGUUUUUGAUGUAAUAUAGAUUGAGAGUUAGAAUAUUGACUCGUAUAGAUAUUUUUCUUAUCUUCUGAGGAAAAUUUACGUUUCCGACCCAUAUGCAAUUGUAGCUAAAAUUAAGAAAAUUCUGUUAUCCAUGACAUCCAACAAUCACAAUCAUAAAUCAUCUAAAGUUUCUUGGAGGAGACAAAACAAGCGUGAAUGAAAGAGAUGAUUACCAUUUAAUAAGCAAAACGAUAACAAACAUAGAAAAUAAAACACAACGAAAUAGAACAAAUAAGUAAAAGAGAGAUUGCUUUACCUGAACAAUAAGCUUUGAAUAGGAUGGUUGAGCUGAGCUGCAUGGAAUAAACCGAUAAGAUCACAGAAAAGAUAAAUAUAACAUGGAAGCAGCUAACAUAAGAAAAGUCAGAGUCCAUGCAAACUAAAAACUUGCAACAAAGAAAUGGAAAUGAUGGGGAAGAGAAAAUGAUAAAAGCAUAAUCUGAAGCAUACGAAACAAAAAUAAACAAACACGGUGAAAGAGCAAAAAGUUCAGCGAAGGAACAACGUAAUAAACAGCUAUAUUAGGCGCAAAAGUGGAGAAAUACAGUAAAGGAAAACAGGCAGCACCUGAUUGAAGCGAGCGAGAACGAGGAAACUGGAAACAAAAAUCACCAAAAGCUGGCACAAGAUGGAGGCUUAACAGAAAGACGCAGGACAAAAGAGAAACAUCUCUAAAACAUUAUAAUAGUUGCUGGUAUGCACGUAGAGAAAGUCAAAGCAAAGAAACUGACGGUGAAAAAGCUAAUGUAGAUAUAGCACACAGAGUGCUUAACUAUACAAAGAGCCUGUGCUUUGGUAAAAGCAAGCACAUGCAUGCAUUAAAUCCAC